UUGAAGAUUAUAGUGAUUCUGAUCUAGAUGAUGUCUCAGAUGAUAUUGAUGACAAAGGUGCGAAUGACGAUAGGAAUGUUAAAAUGUCUUCAGUUGGUAAACCAAGUCAAGGUAUUAUGAUACGCAAUGAUCCUGGGGCACACAUAUCGAUCAUAGAUCCCGAUACGACACAUGCAUUUGAGUUCCUAGAGUACCCCGAUAUACUACUUGUUCACCAGUUGGCUGUAG
This 228-nucleotide long non-coding RNA is filed under the name Gossypium barbadense (sea-island cotton). RNAcentral's name for it is "long non-coding RNA (GBAR_LNC007097)". Lineage: Eukaryota; Viridiplantae; Streptophyta; Magnoliopsida; Malvales; Malvaceae. The record is from RNAcentral.